UCAGCGGACUGCUCGAGCUG
This 20-nucleotide small nuclear RNA is filed under the name Arabidopsis thaliana (thale cress). RNAcentral's name for it is "snRNA_01125". Lineage: Eukaryota; Viridiplantae; Streptophyta; Magnoliopsida; Brassicales; Brassicaceae. The record is from RNAcentral.